GGGUUAUUUUAAAACUUAGAUUUGAAAUCUAAGUCUGGAUAUAAUUCCGUAACCUU
Molecule: transfer RNA, 56 nt
Filed under: Strongyloides venezuelensis
Lineage: Eukaryota; Metazoa; Nematoda; Chromadorea; Rhabditida; Strongyloididae
Description: tRNA-Ser
Source: RNAcentral